Long non-coding RNA from Hirundo rustica (Barn swallow), 187 nucleotides. RefSeq lists it as uncharacterized. The transcript has 3 exons. Lineage: Eukaryota; Metazoa; Chordata; Aves; Passeriformes; Hirundinidae. The record is from RefSeq and is a predicted model, not a curated record.
CCGGCACCGCACCGGCACCGGCACCGGCUCUGCCGCUGCUGCCGUGUUUGUAAGCGACGCGUUCGAAUUCGCGAUACAAACCGAAACAAACUCAUUCCAAGAAAUCGUUCACUAACCCACAGCAUGGUGAAAUACCAAGAGCACGUGGAUUUUGGAGCAGCAUUAAGGACUCCCAUUUCCAUCUUUG